This 558-nucleotide ribosomal RNA is filed under the name Salmonella enterica subsp. enterica serovar Infantis. RNAcentral's name for it is "partial 23S ribosomal RNA". The record is from RNAcentral. Lineage: Bacteria; Pseudomonadati; Pseudomonadota; Gammaproteobacteria; Enterobacterales; Enterobacteriaceae.
GGCGGCCGUAACUAUAACGGUCCUAAGGUAGCGAAAUUCCUUGUCGGGUAAGUUCCGACCUGCACGAAUGGCGUAAUGAUGGCCAGGCUGUCUCCACCCGAGACUCAGUGAAAUUGAACUCGCUGUGAAGAUGCAGUGUACCCGCGGCAAGACGGAAAGACCCCGUGAACCUUUACUAUAGCUUGACACUGAACAUUGAGCCUUGAUGUGUAGGAUAGGUGGGAGGCUUUGAAGCGUGGACGCCAGUCUGCGUGGAGCCGACCUUGAAAUACCACCCUUUAAUGUUUGAUGUUCUAACGUGGAYCCGUAAUCCGGGUUGCGGACAGUGUCUGGUGGGUAGUUUGACUGGGGCGGUCUCCUCCUAAAGAGUAACGGAGGAGCACGAAGGUUGGCUAAUCCUGGUCGGACAUCAGGAGGUUAGUGCAAUGGCAUAAGCCAGCUUGACUGCGAGCGUGACGGCGCGAGCAGGUGCGAAAGCAGGUCAUAGUGAUCCGGUGGUUCUGAAUGGAAGGGCCAUCGCUCAACGGAUAAAAGGUACUCCGGGGAUAACAGGCUGAU